GGUGGGAUGCCAGAGUGGUCGAAUGGGCCGCACUCGAAAUGCGGUAUACCCGAAAGGGUAUCGGGGGUUCAAAUCCCUCUCCCACCGCCA
This 90-nucleotide transfer RNA is filed under the name Candidatus Nomurabacteria bacterium. RNAcentral's name for it is "tRNA-Ser". It matches the Rfam family "tRNA". Rfam says of the family: Transfer RNA (tRNA) molecules are approximately 80 nucleotides in length. Their secondary structure includes four short double-helical elements and three loops (D, anti-codon, and T loops). The record is from RNAcentral. Lineage: Bacteria; Candidatus Nomuraibacteriota.